Molecule: ribosomal RNA, 496 nt
Filed under: uncultured bacterium
Lineage: Bacteria
Description: partial 16S ribosomal RNA
Rfam family: Bacterial small subunit ribosomal RNA
Source: RNAcentral
GAUGAACGCUGGCGGCGUGCCUAAUACAUGCAAGUCGAGCGAACAGACGAGGAGCUUGCUCCUCUGACGUUAGCGGCGGACGGGUGAGUAACACGUGGAUAACCUACCUAUAAGACUGGGAUAACUUCGGGAAACCGGAGCUAAUACCGGAUAAUAUAUUGAACCGCAUGGUUCAAUAGUGAAAGACGGUUUUGCUGUCACUUAUAGAUGGAUCCGCGCCGCAUUAGCUAGUUGGUAAGGUAACGGCUUACCAAGGCAACGAUGCGUAGCCGACCUGAGAGGGUGAUCGGCCACACUGGAACUGAGACACGGUCCAGAAUCCUACGGGAGGCAGCAGUAGGGAAUCUUCCGCAAUGGGCGAAAGCCUGACGGAGCAACGCCGCGGGAGUGAUGAAGGUCUUCGGAUCGUAAAACUCUGUUAUUAGGGAAGAACAAAUGUGUAAGUAACUAUGCACGUCUUGACGGUACCUAUCAGAAAGCCACGGCUAACUACGUG